Molecule: ribosomal RNA, 292 nt
Filed under: uncultured bacterium
Lineage: Bacteria
Description: partial 16S ribosomal RNA
Source: RNAcentral
GGACUACCAGGGUUUCUAAUCCUGUUUGCUCCCCACGCUUUCGCACCUCAGUGUCAGUAUCUUCCCAGGUAGCCGCCUUCGCCACAGGUGUUCUUUCUGAUCUCUACGCAUUUCACCGCUACACCAGAAAUUCCACUACCCUCUAAAGUACUCUAGUCCUACAGUAUUGACUGACCCUCCCAGGUUAAGCCCGGGGCUUUCACAGUCAACUUAUAGCACCACCUACGUGCGCUUUACGCCCAGUAAUUCCGAUUAACGCUUGCACCCUCUGUAUUACCGCGGCUGCUGGCAC